Molecule: ribosomal RNA, 420 nt
Filed under: uncultured cyanobacterium
Lineage: Bacteria; Bacillati; Cyanobacteriota
Description: bacterial SSU rRNA
Rfam family: Bacterial small subunit ribosomal RNA
Source: RNAcentral
GAAUUUUCCGCAAUGGGCGAAAGCCUGACGGAGCGACGCCGCGUGGAGGAUGAAGUAUUUCGGUAUGUAAACUCCUUUUGUAGACUACUAAGUUUUGAAGAGUCUAAGAAUAAGAGGUUUCUAAACUCGUGCCAGCAGAAGCGGUAAUACGAGUGCCUCAAGCGUUAUCCGGAAUCAUUGGGCGUAAAGGGUGUGUAGGCGGUUUCGUUAGUCUUUUGUGAAAGCUCUCUGGCUUAACCAGGGAAACGCAAGGGAAACGGCGAGGCUGGAGUGCGCGAGGGGUCUGUGGAACUCUAAGUGUAGCAGUGAAAUGCGUUGAUAUUUAGGGGAACACCAAAAGCGAAGGCAGCAGACUGGAGCAUAACUGACGCUGAAACACGAAAGCGUGGGUAGCGAAUGGGAUUAGAUACCCCAGUAGUC